This 69-nucleotide transfer RNA is filed under the name Marmota monax (woodchuck). RNAcentral's name for it is "tRNA.Gly". The stretch from base 5 to 65 matches the Rfam family "tRNA", at positions 6 to 65 of the family's 71-position model. From Rfam's summary of the family: Transfer RNA (tRNA) molecules are approximately 80 nucleotides in length. Their secondary structure includes four short double-helical elements and three loops (D, anti-codon, and T loops). Lineage: Eukaryota; Metazoa; Chordata; Mammalia; Rodentia; Sciuridae. The record is from RNAcentral.
GGAAUGUGGUUCAGUGGUAAAGCACGUGCUUACCAUGCACAAAGCCCUGGGUUCAAUCCCCAGUAACCU